UCUCUUCCGUAAUGCAAUCCAGCUUCUGUGCCAUCUCUACUGUCAUGUGGUUUGCCCAAUCUCCAACCUUUCCGGUCCUAAAAAGUAACGAAUUAUCCGUACCAAUGCGUUCAGUCACUCCCUGUGAAUUUACCGGUAGGCUCUUGAGGUGCUGGAAGCUACAGAGUCUCACCACCUCCUCCACAGCUCCGCGGCUCUCCUCCUCAUCGGUGAAUGGAACACCAAGAAACUCGGCGAGCAUCUUAACAUGCUUGGUUGGUUCAGCGGCCAUCUCAUCGUACUUCAGGAACAGAACCUUUUCAGGCUCUAUCUUGCUUUGCUUCCAGUACCCAAGAUAGUGCUCCCACACAGGCCCGUAAAAUGAGAAACCUUCACAGAACAACUCAAAGGACCUAUCAAACUCUAUAAGGAUGUCUGGGCGCACCGUCUUGAUGUGGUACCAGAAGGACACAAGCACAUCCUUGGGCUCCCGACACAGAUACACGACCCGGCUAAGGGUUGAUGUGCUUGAGGGCAAUAAGGUGAGUGGAAGGUGUGUGGAUAAGAGCCUUGGAGAUGGGAUCUCAUCUAGCUCUGUGACUGGGUGGAGGUCUCGGAAAGGAAUCUCUAGGUAUGGGACGAGAUCAUGAGGGUUGUGGGAGAGCAGCGGGUGAUCAUAGCUG
This 662-nucleotide long non-coding RNA is filed under the name Setaria italica (foxtail millet). Its description in RNAcentral is "long non-coding RNA (SITA_LNC005761)". The record is from RNAcentral. Lineage: Eukaryota; Viridiplantae; Streptophyta; Magnoliopsida; Poales; Poaceae.